Molecule: long non-coding RNA, 4909 nt
Organism: Triticum aestivum (bread wheat)
Lineage: Eukaryota; Viridiplantae; Streptophyta; Magnoliopsida; Poales; Poaceae
Exons: 8
Source: RefSeq, a predicted model, not a curated record
CCAGAAGCCGCCCGAAUGAAAAAAAGACCCCGGCUCGACCCCAGUUGUCCCGAACCUCCCCCGAACCGAUCCUCCAGCCCCCCGUCGCCGCGCCGUGAUGCAACCCCAGGCCCCGGUCGCCGCGCCCCCAGGGCCUCGCCGCCGCGCCGCGAUGCCACCUCUGCUGCGACCCUAGGGUCCGGCCGCCGCGCCGCCAGGCCACCUCCGCCGUGCCGCCAGGCCCCAGCCGCCGCACUACCAGGCCACCUCCGCCGCGCCGCCAACCUUCCUUGGCUGCGCUGUCAGGCCCUACGUCGCCGCCGCACUACUCCAGCCAGCGUCCCACCGUGCCACGCUGCUCCAGCCGGCCUUCCACCGCGCUGUGCUUCCCCAGCCCGCCUCGCAAUGCGACGCUGCCCCAGGCCGUUCACGGCCGCUACCCCAGUCUGUUCACCACUGCCAACCAAGGCCGUUCAAUGAUGGGUCGGUCAACAAAAGCAAUGACCUGAGGGAAGAAGACGGAGCUAAAAUGAUUCAGUUCAUCAUUGGCACCCUAUAACCCAAACAGUGAAGAACACACCCCUUGUACUUUUGCUCUUGUUCCUUCUGUCUCCUGAAUUCCACUCUUGAUGAGCAUGCUUGGUACUAGAUAGAUACUGCUGUCGUAGUUCUAAUACAAUAUAUUACAACAAUUCAUUGACAAAAAUUGUCAAUUCAUAUAUGUAUGCAGCGGCUGUUCUGAUACUACUUCAGUAACCAGAAAAACACAAAAGUUCAACUAUACUUAUACAAAAUAGUUUAAUAUUUUAUUCUAUGACACUCAAGAAAAACAGAAAUAAAAGAGGUUCAUCAUGUGAUGAACAAUAGUCCCAACAAGUGUGCUAGAGAUGCAAAAAAAUUGAUGGCAUAGUCGAUGCUAUUUUUCAUCCAAUUUCUGAAGAAAACUAAAGUUGAUCAGAGUAACUGAAGAAUAAUCUAUUAGUUCUCGAGUAUGUGUAAUGAUGCCAUUUUACUGUGCAUUUGUUUCCAUCGCGACGGAUGUAUUCCAAGAUAUGGUUGUAUCAUUGUGUUGAAUAAAAAUACCAUGUUGCUGCAACAUUUUCUGUCAGCUCCUGUCAAGCAAUACAUGUAUGUGAGCAUCCUUCUAUGUAGUAAGUUCAUAGUCGAGAAGUCAGGAACUUCGGAAAAAGAACGUGAACAUAAAAAAACCAUAAAAACCUGAACCUUAUCUUAGGGGAGUUCAAGAAGUCCGUGUCUAGCCGUCUGUGGUGUGUAUUCUUAUCAGUUCAUAGUCGAGAAGACAUGUAUUCUUAUCAGUUUAUUUUUCUAGCUGGCAGUUUUGUGUAUUUGGUUAGUUUGUGUGUGUAUAUGUUGCCAUCGUGGUAUACGAGAGACCACCCCACGAGAAAGUCGCCGAUCUGGUCGAGGCAUGCUCCUGUUCUCUGUUUUCAGUUGCACAAACAUUUAAAAGUUCGAACACCAAACCCUGGUAAGUUCUCCUUACAAAAACUCAUCUCUCAUAUUUGUUCCUAUUUUUGUAGGUUCCAGUUAAAACAAGAUGCAUAACUUCAUCAUUUGUAUGCUUUUUAGUUCAUCUACUUCCCGAUGGUGAGUCUGAUUUCCUUCGUGUUUCCAUUUUCUUCAUAUAGCACAAACAAGUACUUGUGGUUAUGCUUGAGAAUGAGCACCAUACCGUUCACCGCCACCACACCGGGUCGUUCAACGACACAACCCGAAGUAGUUCGACGUCGCAGCUCGGGAGGCACACACUUCACCCCUCCAUCCCAGGAGAGCAGUACAUCUUGUGCGCGAGCAGUCCGUUGCUGAUGUACACUGCUGCUCUAAGCUCCUUGGCCACUACUCCAGUAUGUCCAGCAUCGUCCCCAGUCCAGCCCCAUGGCAUUCGGACGGUCGAGUUCAUGCCGAGCAGCAGUCCACGCCCAUCAGCUCCUAUUUCCACUAUAGUGGUUGGGUUGCCGUUUUCCUCAUCCUUCUCGGUGCGCGACAACCCAGCCCACAUGUUGCUGCCGUCCGCCACCCCAAAUAGCUUUGGCUGUUCCUCAAGCAACCAUUUGGAGAACCUUUUGGUGUUUUUCUACUGGUGAUUGAUUUUAGCAAUUUGUAGCUAUCUGCGUAUGGAAUCUGAAAGUUCAAGAUUGCUGCAGAUUCAAUUCUUGUAGUACAAAUGUCCCAGAGUUUAGUGACAUCUGUAAUUGAGGUACUAUGGUCUUGCAUCUCCAAUGUAUGUUGCUGAGCAUCCUCCCAAUCCGCUCGAUCAACUUCUUAUUCCACCUCCAAAAAAAAUUCUUUUUGAGUUCUAUCCUUCGUCACAGGUUCACCGCUAUUACCUCAGUGCAAACGUGCCAAAGAGUUUAGUUCAGACUAUACUAAAUGUCCAUAUUAUAGAUAAUAUUUGCAUUGUCUUAAAUUUCUGGAAACAAGCUUCAGUACAAGAAAAAUGGGCCAGUUAGUUCAUCCAUAUCCAAACCCCCGUCGACGUGCGGCGGCAGGAAACAUUUUCAGGUUGUUUUCUUUCUCUCUUUGCUUAGCACAAAAUUGCGCAAAUGCCUAGCAGAAAAAGAACUUGUUCGUAUACAUAGGUAGGUUCACGAAAUAUUGUAGUAGUACUUUGGUGAAAGGAUUCACAUCAGUUCAAUCAUUUUUGAAUGUUCAGUAAAAGUUCAAAUAGAGCAGAGGCUUUCACCUCAUUCGAAAAAGCCUAAAAAGCAACAGUACAAUGAUAGAAAAAAAUCAGUUCAAAAAAAUAUGCUGGAGGUUUGUCGGAAUGGCAGAAAAACAUCAGUUCAAUUUUUCUGUACCAUCGCUUCUAUUGCUAAAUGUUUUAGUCACUUGUUUUCUUGAUGCCAUCAGGUAUUUCCUUAAAUACUUCGGUCUUGUGCAGCUGGUACUAGUGUGAAUGGGUAGCAAGUUGAACUACCAAUCCACACCAAGUUCAGACCUCUUUUUGGAAUUGGGCCUGCCCCAUGAUCCGGCGUCGCCCUCCGCUGCCUCAGCACGCAGGCCGUUCACCUUCACCACCCCUGGCCGUUCACCACCACCACCAGCGCCCGUUCAAUGCCGCCCCAACAACCCAGUGCGACUUUGUCUCUCUCAACUUAAAAAGCGGUUCAGCUCAGUGCAUGUCAGACAUUAAAGCAAUAUUCUGUAGUAGCUUCAAAAAAUGCAAAUGGUCAUGUUUCCACAAGACUGACGGAACACUGCCAAUUGAAUUGAGCACUAGCGGAACUGUGAAGCACUGACGAAACACUACCAAUUGAAUUGAACGUUGACCACGUCUCCACCCUCCCCACGCCCGCCAAUGCUGCGACCACCCCUCCCCCUCACGAUUUCUCGUUGAUAUCGCUGUAUUCAUGCUUGUUACGUGAGUUGCCUGAUGGAAGUUCUGCAACUGUCAGUCCAGAUGGAAGAAGGAGAUCCAUCCAAAGUGUGAGUUUUGCGACGUCGACGUGCAAGUUCUACAAUUAUCUGUCCAGAUGGGAGAAGGAGAUCAAUCCAACCGACGCAUCUAAAGCGACAUAUGCAGAGCCAUUCGUCUGAGUUCAUAGGCUUCUUAAAAUUUCUAAUAUAAACAAGCUGGUGGCCGCCCAUCUCUGCAUGUAUUUUAUUUCGGAUAGCCAAAUCCUGGCGCGCCCAGCCGCUGCUCGUGAACCCCGCCUCCAUCAGCUCCACUUCACUGGAGCCGUCAGUCCACAGGAAUAGGGGUAGCGGAUCCCCUAUAGCGGUCAAAUCCCGGUGCGCCCAGCCGCUGCUUGUGAACCUCGCCUCCAUCAGCUCCACUUCACCAGAGCCGUCAGUCCGCAGGAGUAGGGGUAGCAGGUUCACCCAACGUCCGACGCCUUCUUCCAUCUCCAAAAAUCUUGUUUUUUGAGUUCAGUUCUUCGUCACAUGUUUCACUAGCUGAAAAAUGCAUGGUGUUCUGAAAUUGCUUGCGGACCACUAGCUGAAAUUGCUUGACGAACAAAAGCAAAGGUUUUAUCUUCAUCUACUAUUUUUUCAGAUAUUCGUCAUAUGCACGAGCAUGACUAUAUUUGCUUGUUAUGAUCUAGUGGGCAACAUUAACAUUUGGGUAGUCCUUCUGCAGGGCCCAAACCCACUGUCGUGCAAGAAAAAGAAAGCAAAGCCCCAACCAUCAGCUGCUCAAUCAUCAGAACUAAUAGUAAGAUGGAGAAGAGAUAAUGCAACAAAAAUCUUAGAUGGGGCAGUGAAGUCCAUUGCGCAUUCUGAUUUUUUGUAGCUCCGGACAUCAGUUGUAUUGAGACAUGGAUGGCUCUACACCUGAAGUACAUAUAUCUGACAAGCAUGAUCACAUGUUCCCUUUAGAGUCUGAUGGUCGAUGGAGAGGCGAAGCGAAAGACGGUUAGGAAGCGCAAGAGAAGUGGCAAAGACAGUAGGUCCAUGUGUAUUUAACAGCAAGUCCAUGUAUUACUACAUGAGAAGUACUGCUAGUGAGACUUCACUGCCCCAUUUCAACAAACUUGUAUACGCAAUCCUAGUUUGACAAAGUACUCUACUGCCGCUGGUUUCAGUUCCCUCACUGGAUUUGCAGGCUCACGACCAUCCUCCAACACCCCGUCAGUGCCACUGAUUUGAAGGACCUCGGUGAGCGUGUACUUCUCCUGCACCAGAGAGGUUUGGACAGACGCUGAUCACUAGCUCUCUAUGACGCCACCGAUCACUAGAACGAAGAACACCAGCAGGAUGAGAAUGAAGUACAUGACAUAGACAAUGAGGACGACCAAAACAUGGAAUCCGUACACAUAGCACCAACUGCAAAUUCGAACUUUCUGUCUAUGAUGAUUUGAUUGCUACUUCUUAAAGAAAGUGUACAUAACAGUUAGAUGUUUGUGCUAGAAAGGAAAACUUGUUUGAAUUAAAAACAUUGACCAGUACGAAUCAAAAACAUUGAUCA